CAGUCGCCGCGGGAAUACGAAGGGGGCUAGCGUUGUUCGGAAUCACUGGCGUAAAGCGCACGUAGGCGGAUACUUAAGUCAGGGGUGAAAUCCCGGGGCUCAACCUCGGAACUGCCUUUGAUACUGGGUAUCUUGAGUCCGGGAGAGGUUGGUGGAACUCCGAGUGUAGAGGUGAAAUUCGUAGAUAUUCGGAAGAACACCAGUGGCGAAGGCGGCCAACUGGCCCGGUACUGACGCUGAGGUGCGAAAGCGUGGGGAGCAAACAGGAUUAGAUACCCGCGUAGUCCCUGUCUCUUAUACA
Molecule: ribosomal RNA, 301 nt
Filed under: uncultured bacterium
Lineage: Bacteria
Description: partial 16S ribosomal RNA
Rfam family: Bacterial small subunit ribosomal RNA
Source: RNAcentral